GAUGAAGAACGCAGCGAAAUGCGAUACUUGGUGUGAAUUGCAGAAUCCCGUGAACCAUCGAGUCUUUGAACGCAAGUUGCGCCCGAAGCCUCGGCUAAGGGCACGUCUGCCUGGGCGUCACGCAUCGCGUCUCCCCCAAACCGCCAAGGCGGAGGGGAAGGAAGAUGGCCUCCCGUGCCUCACCCGGCGCGGUUGGCCUAAAUUUGGAGCCCGCGGCACUUAGCUCACGCGGCGAUAGGUGGUGAACAAGGCCUUGGCCGUGCAAACAACCCGCUGCGAAGCUCUAUGUCACGUGCGCUCGUCGGACCCUUUGAAGUUGCCUUCGGUGACUUAAAACCUUUGCGACCCCAGGUCAGGCGGGGCUACCCGCUGAAUUUAAGCAUAUCAAUAAGCGGAGGA
This 399-nucleotide unclassified non-coding RNA is filed under the name soil metagenome. RNAcentral describes it as "partial contains 5.8S ribosomal RNA, internal transcribed spacer 2, and large subunit ribosomal RNA". The stretch from base 1 to 120 matches the Rfam family "5.8S ribosomal RNA", at positions 35 to 154 of the family's 154-position model. The record is from RNAcentral.